RNAcentral lists this ribosomal RNA (477 nucleotides) under uncultured organism. RNAcentral's name for it is "partial 16S ribosomal RNA". It matches the Rfam family "Bacterial small subunit ribosomal RNA", at positions 332 to 800 of the family's 1533-position model. The record is from RNAcentral.
UACACUCCUACGGGAGGCAGCAGUGGGGAAUUUUGGACAAUGGGCGAAAGCCUGAUCCAGCAAUGCCGCGUGAGUGAAGAAGGCCUUCGGGUUGUAAAGCUCUUUUGUCAGGGAAGAAACGGUGAAAGCUAAUAUCUUUUGCUAAUGACGGUACCUGAAGAAUAAGCACCGGCUAACUACGUGCCAGCAGCCGCGGUAAUACGUAGGGUGCAAGCGUUAAUCGGAAUUACUGGGCGUAAAGCGUGCGCAGGCGGUUUUGUAAGUCUGAUGUGAAAUCCCCGGGCUCAACCUGGGAAUUGCAUUGGAGACUGCAAGGCUAGAAUCUGGCAGAGGGGGGUAGAAUUCCACGUGUAGCAGUGAAAUGCGUAGAUAUGUGGAGGAACACCGAUGGCGAUGGCAGCCCCCUGGGUCAAGAUUGACGCUCAUGCACGAAAGCGUGGGGAGCAAACAGGAUUAGAAACCCGUGUAGUCCCAUGA